AGUGAACGCUGGCGGUAGGCCUAACACAUGCAAGUCGAACGGCAGCACAGUAAGAGCUUGCUCUUACGGGUGGCGAGUGGCGGACGGGUGAGGAAUACAUCGGAAUCUACUUUUUCGUGGGGGAUAACGUAGGGAAACUUACGCUCAUACCGCAUACGCCCUACGGGUGAAAGCAGGGGAUCUUUGGACCUUGCGCGAUUGAAUGAGCCGAUGUCGGAUUAGCUAGUUGGCGGGGUAAAGGCCCACCAAGGCGACGAUCCGUAGCUGGUCUGAGAGGAUGAUCAGCCACACUAGAACUGGGACACGGUCCAUACUCCUACGGGAGGCAGCAGUGUGGAAUGGUGGACAAUGGGCGCAAGCCUGAUCCAGCCAUACCGCGUGGGUGAAGGAGGCCUUGGGGUUGUAAAGCCCUUUUGUUGGGUAAGAACAGCAGCAGGUUAAUACCCCGCUGUUCUGACGGUACCCAAUGAAUAAGCACCGGCUAACUUCGUG
Molecule: ribosomal RNA, 492 nt
Filed under: uncultured bacterium
Lineage: Bacteria
Description: partial 16S ribosomal RNA
Rfam family: Bacterial small subunit ribosomal RNA
Source: RNAcentral